GACGAACGCUGGCGGCGUGCCUAAUACAUGCAAGUCGAGCGGAUGACGGAGGAGCUUGCUCCUCCUGAUUCAGCGGCGGACGGGUGAGUAACACGUGGGCAACCUGCCCUGUAGAUUGGGAUAACUCCGAGAAACCGGGGCUAAUACCGAAUAAUCCUUCGGACCUCAUGGUCCGAUGCUGAAAGACGGCAUCUCGCUGUCACUACAGGAUGGGCCCGCGGCGCAUUAGUUAGUUGGUGAGGUAACGGCUCACCAAGGCCACGAUGCGUAGCCGACCUGGGAGGGUGAUCGGCCACACUGGGACUGAGACACGGCCCAGACUCCUACGGGAGGCAGCAGUAGGGAAUCUUCCACAAUGGGCGAAAGUCUGAUGGAGCAACGCCGCGUGAGUGAAGAAGGUUCUCGGAUCGUAAAACUCUGUUGUGAGGGAAGAACAAGUACCGGAGUAACUGCCGGUGCCUUGACGGUACCUCAUUAGAAAGCCACGGCUAACUACGUGCCAGCCGCCGCUGUAA
RNAcentral lists this ribosomal RNA (515 nucleotides) under uncultured bacterium. RNAcentral describes it as "partial 16S ribosomal RNA". It matches the Rfam family "Bacterial small subunit ribosomal RNA", at positions 28 to 523 of the family's 1533-position model. The record is from RNAcentral.